GGAGAAUUGAAAGUGAAGAGUUAAUUUCAGCCUGGGGAAACUCUGGUUGCUUUUGUUUGAAUAAAGCUUUUAGAAAGAUCAGAGUGAAAGUGGAGUUUUCUUUUUCACUUCUUUCCACAAUAUAGUGAAGAGAGAGGUAGGAUUAGAGUAAGGGAUCCCUAUGUUCUAUUUCCACCUGUGACAUAUUGGUGAUGUUGGGCUAGUCACCAUUUCCAUGUUUUAGACAAAUCAGUCAGACUAAGUUUCAGAGAAAGUGAUGACCUAUGUUAAUAGAGGGAUUCUUUUUUCCUCACCCAGAAGUUAUCUAUAGCAAUGGUACAAUUUCUACCCUCAAUUUUGGCUCUGUCUCUCCCACAGGAUUGAUUGCCCCAGAUCACAACAACUUCAAUUCAACAGAUAACCAGCUGGCCCUAAACUAUCAAUAACAAAUAACAACAGAGACAAAUAGAUACUGUGUCUCAAAUUAACCUAACAGCAAGUAUGAGUCAUCCAAGCCUAUUGGUAAGACAAAAGUCAAGACAAGUGAUGAUGGCCUGGGAUUCAAUGCAUGACCAUGGUGUCUUCUAUGUUGGACCAACCACUAAGUACUCCACAGAGCCUGCUUCAGCUGUGUCCAUGACCUUUAGAACAAAUUGUUCUUAUCCAUCCAUUUCAGCAAGAGAAGUUAUCACAAGCUUGGAGUAA
RNAcentral lists this long non-coding RNA (684 nucleotides) under Monodelphis domestica (gray short-tailed opossum). RNAcentral's name for it is "lncRNA (ENSMODG00000031474.2)". Lineage: Eukaryota; Metazoa; Chordata; Mammalia; Didelphimorphia; Didelphidae. The record is from RNAcentral.